UUAGCCGGUACUCGCGAAUNGCNUCUAGAUUAAGUUGAUCCUGGCUCAGNACGAACGCUGGCGGCGUGCUUAACACAUGCAAGUCGAACGAUGAAGCCCUUCGGGGUGGAUUAGUGGCGAACGGGUGAGUAACACGUGGGCAAUCUGCCCUUCACUCUGGGACAAGCCCUGGAAACGGGGUCUAAUACCGGAUAACACUCCUGCCUGCAUGGGCGGGGGUUAAAAGCUCCGGCGGGGUUGGAAAGGGAUGAGCCCCGCGGGGCCUAUCAGGCUUUGGUUUGGGUUGGGGGGUAAUUGGGCCCACCAAGGGGCCGAACGAACCGGGGGGUUNGGCCCGGGGCCUUUGGAAGAAGGGGGGCGGAACCGGGCCACCUUGGGGGACU
Molecule: ribosomal RNA, 383 nt
Filed under: uncultured bacterium
Lineage: Bacteria
Description: partial 16S ribosomal RNA
Rfam family: Bacterial small subunit ribosomal RNA
Source: RNAcentral